This 689-nucleotide ribosomal RNA is filed under the name uncultured bacterium. RNAcentral describes it as "bacterial SSU rRNA". It matches the Rfam family "Bacterial small subunit ribosomal RNA", at positions 71 to 755 of the family's 1533-position model. The record is from RNAcentral.
AGCGGGGACUUCGGUCCGCCGGCGAGUGGCGAACGGGUGAGUAAAGUAUCGGAACGUACCUUUCAGUGGGGGAUAACGUAGCGAAAGUUACGCUAAUACCGCAUAUUCUGUGAGCAGGAAAGCAGGGGAUCGCAAGACCUUGCGCUGAUUGAGCGGCCGAUAUCAGAUUAGCUAGUUGGUGGGGUAAAGGCCUACCAAGGCGACGAUCUGUAGCGGGUCUGAGAGGAUGAUCCGCCACACUGGGACUGAGACACGGCCCAGACUCCUACGGGAGGCAGCAGUGGGGAAUUUUGGACAAUGGGCGCAAGCCUGAUCCAGCCAUGCCGCGUGAGUGAAGAAGGCCUUCGGGUUGUAAAGCUCUUUCGGCCGGGAAGAAAUCGCAUGGGCUAAUACCCUGUGUGGAUGACGGUACCGGAAUAAGAAGCACCGGCUAACUACGUGCCAGCAGCCGCGGUAAUACGUAGGGUGCGAGCGUUAAUCGGAAUUACUGGGCGUAAAGCGUGCGCAGGCGGUUUUUUAAGAUAGGCGUGAAAUCCCCGGGCUCAACCUGGGAACUGCGCUUAUGACUGGAAGACUAGAGUAUGGCAGAGGGGGGUGGAAUUCCACGUGUAGCAGUGAAAUGCGUAGAGAUGUGGAGGAACACCGAUGGCGAAGGCAGCCCCCUGGGCCAAUACUGACGCUCCAGCACG